RNAcentral lists this ribosomal RNA (506 nucleotides) under uncultured bacterium. Its description in RNAcentral is "bacterial SSU rRNA". It matches the Rfam family "Bacterial small subunit ribosomal RNA", at positions 501 to 1009 of the family's 1533-position model. The record is from RNAcentral.
CUACGUGCCAGCAGCCGCGGUAAUACGGGAGGUCCAGGCGUUAUCCGGAUUUAUUGGGUUUAAAGGGAGCGUAGGCUGGAGAUUAAGUGUGUUGUGAAAUGUAGACGCUCAACGUCUGAAUUGCAGCGCAUACUGGUUUCCUUGAGUACGCACAACGUUGGCGGAAUUCGUCGUGUAGCGGUGAAAUGCUUAGAUAUGACGAAGAACUCCGAUUGCGAAGGCAGCUGACGGGAGCGCAACUGACGCUUAAGCUCGAAGGUGCGGGUAUCAAACAGGAUUAGAUACCCUGGUAGUCCGCACAGUAAACGAUGGAUGCCCGCUGUUGGUACCUGGUAUCAGCGGCUAAGCGAAAGCAUUAAGCAUCCCACCUGGGGAGUACGCCGGCAACGGUGAAACUCAAAGGAAUUGACGGGGGCCCGCACAAGCGGAGGAACAUGUGGUUUAAUUCGAUGAUACGCGAGGAACCUUACCCGGGCUUGAACUAACGGUGACGAAUCUAGAGAUAG